UGAAUACAUUGAGGCAGCAUGUGAUGA
RNAcentral lists this non-coding RNA (27 nucleotides) under Cricetulus griseus (Chinese hamster). The record is from RNAcentral. Lineage: Eukaryota; Metazoa; Chordata; Mammalia; Rodentia; Cricetidae.